GGCUGGGCGGGGCCGGACGUGAGCGAAUUUCCGCGGGGCGGCGGGGCCGCCAUGGCGGCAAAAAGUCCUCCUGAUAGUACUCCAAGAAGGCCUGUUUUAUCUGUCAGUGCAAGAAAAAUUAAAGAUAAUGCAGCAGACUGGCAUAAUUUAAUGAUGAAAUGGGAGAGACUGAAUGAUAAUGGAUUUACUACAGCAAACAAAAUAGUCAACAUGAGGAUCGGUGAGCAAUUUCAAGACAAGAAACUGGAGAUAGCAUGUGAUAACAAUGCCACAGAACCUGAAAAGCCAACCCGAAAGUACAAUGAAGAGCUGGACAAUUGCUGUGCAGAAUUACUUGAGACCUUAAAUCAUAUGACAAAAAUACAACUAAAAAUGGAAAAGCUUACUUCAACUACUAAAGCAAUCUGUGACUUGGAAACAUUCCACCAUGGAGCUGGGAAUUGCACGGCACCCUUCUUUCAUACAUGGCCCACACCAUACUUCUAUGAGGUUUCUCUGAAGCUGUCUGAAAUGUACAAGAAGGAACUACAACUCAAGCAAACAAUUGUACAAGACAUUGCUCAUUCUGCUGACCAGGAUCUGAUGAUGGUGUAUUUAUCAUCAUGGUUGUACCAGCCUUACAUUGAGAACAGCAGCAUGCUGCUGCUCGAAGCCAUGCUGCUGGAAACAGGACACAGGCAGUGCUAGAAUUCUAAAGGUUACAUGGCUGGCUCCUAGUGAUGCUUAUAUGAAACUGAUUUGGCAUGUUGCAAGGCUUACCAAGUGGAAAUUGUGGUUUGUUCUCAUUUCUUAAGAAGAAAAAAGCUCUUCAGGAAGGGGUCUUCACAUUCAAGACCCUCUUGCUUAUUGACUGUUGUUGGGUAUUGGAAGAUUACUGCAAAAUCACUGCAGAGAUGUUUUGUCAUUCUACCUCUAGGCAGUUGAUUGUUGUAUUUGUAGCCCUCAAAUAUAAUUAUUAGACAGUCAGUACAAAAGAGGAUCAUAAAGAAUUGCUCACUGCAAUCAACGACUUUGAAAGAUCAGCAGAAUUUUGCUUUGUAUGCUACCUUCACUUACAAGGUAGGUCUGUAUCCUCUGUAAAAGCGGGAAAAAAAACCCAAAACAAAUAGUUACUUGUUAAUGUGCAGUAUCUUUCACAACUAGUCAUAAAAGGCAACAUUUUGGGUAAUCAAAUUCAUCUUCUACUAUCUAUGCAACCAAGAAAAAAAAACCAAAAAAGCCUAACCCAAAUAUGUUUAAAGGGAUGUAGAGCAGUUUAUUUAAUCUGCAAAUUGCAUUCUGUUUAGAUUCAAUUUUAGUGUUUUUCUUCAGUCACAAUACCAUGAAAAAGAAUCAGUGUUCAUACUCAAUUUAAGAACAACUCUCCUGUCCUUGGCAGAUUUGUCCAAUUGUCCCAGUAGCUGCAUCUAUUCAGCAAUGAGGUGACACACACUUUUUAAGGAUGUUAUCACUUUUCA
RNA transcript from Hirundo rustica (Barn swallow), 1457 nucleotides. It is a transcript of the gene named cyclin dependent kinase 2 interacting protein, with no coding region annotated. NCBI's taxonomy places the organism in Eukaryota, Metazoa, Chordata, Aves, Passeriformes, Hirundinidae. The transcript is spliced from 6 exons. The record is from RefSeq and is a predicted model, not a curated record.